GAUUUGUUAAAAGCCAUUUUAUCUCUGAGAGAUUCAAUGACCAUGUUUGAUGACAAGCCAGAUGGCAGUGUUCUCUAGACCCGGUGCCAAGAAGCAUGACAGGAGCCGCAAUUUACCUUCCGUGGUGAGGCGAGCUGCUGAAGCACACCACAGCUGCGGGCGAGCGGGCUGCUGCCGGUAGGUGCAAGCACAGUUGGUUCCCUCCCAAUUUGGAUGCAGCAGUUCUGGAGGCUGGGAAGUCCAAGGUCAAAGAGCGGCAUCUGGUGAGGAACUCCUGACUACAUCAGCCAUGAGCAAAGAGGAAGAGAAAGAAUAUUCUUUUAUGCAGAGGAGCAAGACCCUCCUAUGAUUUGUGGGAAGGACGGCAUUGCCUCAGUGGAAAAGUAAGUAAUGACAUAUUUCACUUUCCUGUAGGAUUUUUUAAAUUAAUGGCAUUAAAUUGA
Callithrix jacchus (white-tufted-ear marmoset) is the source of this 443-nucleotide long non-coding RNA. RefSeq lists it as uncharacterized. The record is from RefSeq and is a predicted model, not a curated record. NCBI's taxonomy places the organism in Eukaryota, Metazoa, Chordata, Mammalia, Primates, Cebidae.